GAAUAUUGGUCAAUGGAGGCAACUCUGAACCAGCCACGCCGCGUGAAGGAUGACGGCCCUAUGGGUUGUAAACUUCUUUUGUAUGGGAAUAAACCUUUCUACGUGUAGGAAGCUGAAGGUACCAUACGACUAAGCAUCGGCUAACUCCGUGCCAGCAGCCGCGGUAAUACGGAGGAUGCAAGCGUUAUCCGGAUUCAUUGGGUUUAAAGGGUGCGUAGGCGGAAGAAUAAGUCAGGGGUGAAAGCCGGUCGCUUAACGAUCGAAUUGCCUUUGAUACUGUUUUUCUUGAGUUUGGUUGAAGUGGGCGGAAUGUGAAGUGUAGCGGUAAAAUGCAUAGAGAUUUCACAGAACACCGAUUGCGAAGGCAGCUCACUAAGCCACAACUGACGCUGAUGCACGAAAGCGUGGGGAUCAAACA
This 418-nucleotide ribosomal RNA is filed under the name uncultured bacterium. RNAcentral describes it as "partial 16S ribosomal RNA". It matches the Rfam family "Bacterial small subunit ribosomal RNA", at positions 359 to 774 of the family's 1533-position model. The record is from RNAcentral.